UACGGGGGGGGCAAGCGUUGUUCGGAAUUACUGGGCGUAAAGGAUGCGUAGGCGGACAUUUAAGUCAGAUGUGAAAUACCCGAGCUUAACUUGGGUGCUGCAUUUGAAACUGGGUGUCUAGAGUGCAGGAGAGGUAAGUGGAAUUCCUAGUGUAGCGGUGAAAUGCGUAGAGAUUAGGAAGAACACCAGUGGCGAAGGCGACUUACUGGACUGUAACUGACGCUGAGGCAUGAAAGCGUGGGGAGCAAACAGG
RNAcentral lists this ribosomal RNA (253 nucleotides) under uncultured bacterium. RNAcentral describes it as "partial 16S ribosomal RNA". It matches the Rfam family "Bacterial small subunit ribosomal RNA", at positions 524 to 776 of the family's 1533-position model. The record is from RNAcentral.